Molecule: long non-coding RNA, 6084 nt
Filed under: Olea europaea subsp. europaea
Lineage: Eukaryota; Viridiplantae; Streptophyta; Magnoliopsida; Lamiales; Oleaceae
Source: RNAcentral
GUUAAUUUUCCUUGGGUGCAGUACUUGCGUCUGUGGGUGAGUAUGGAUUAUACAAUAUGUAUAUAUUUUAUUUAUUGUUCAUGACUUGGAGAAAUUGGUAAUCUUCAGAUAAGUCUGCGUGAGUAUCCUCAAGGCAUUGGCAAAGCUUGAUAACAAACGGGUUGCCUGUAUGCCAACUCUUUGGCAUUGUUACAAGCAAAAUUUAUUCGUAUUUAGGUCACUUGCCACUUUGAAGGAAAAAUUGCAUAAUCGGUCCCCGACCUAUUACAUAAGUAGCAUUUUUGGUUCCCAACAUAUAGAAAGGAGCAAGUGGAUCCUUACUUGUGUGAAGAACUGAAGUAUUAUUCUUCUUCAUAAUCAUAAUAAUAAUACACUAUAGUUGCAUUCACUAUAGUUGCAUAAUCUGUCCAUAAUGAUGAGAACAAAUGAAUUUCCAUUAAAUCGUCACAAUUGUUACAGAAACAUGCCUCACAUCAAAUUUCUGCACACCAACCUAAGUUGUGAUACAAAACCAAGCUUCAAAACGUUAGACAUGUGAGGCCCAUGUGAAGAUUUCAUGGAGAUUUGGAUGGUUUUCAACAAUGGGACAGAUUGUGCGACUUCAAUGAACUGUUGAGGACCAACUUGUACCUGUUUGGGAUCAAUAGUGCAAUAUUUUCCACUGAGAACAGAAAUUGUAGUUUGCGUCCUCUUUUGCUUCUGUAUCACGUCCCUGUGAUUUGACAUGCAUUUGCUGCUUCUGUCACCUGUUCUUUUGUUCCCCCUUUUUCAUAGUUGGAAAGCACUGAAUACUUUCACCUAGAAGUUAUUAACAAAUAGCAUUUUAUGGUGAACACACUCUUAUGUGAAACAAUAGCACUUUGGGAUGUCAGAAAAUUUUAAUAUGGAUAUUUGAAUGCUUUCUCAAUGUGCUUUGUUUCACUUGAGUGAAUGAUUUUGGAUCUUGUUCAAAGUAUCCUUUCUUUGCAGUCAGAAUGCUUGAUGAGGUUUUAAGGACAUGUUAUUUCUUUACUUGUGUGAAGAACUGAAGUAUUAUUCUUCUUCAUAAUCAUAAUAAUAAUGCUGUACAAUCAUUGAAUUUAUAUACUUACAGAGAACAAAUAAAAUAGGAAACUAUCCUAAAUUAAAUCCCCUUAAUUAAGGGAUUGUGAUAUUCCUUUAAUUAAGGGAUUAUGAUAUCUCCUAAAUUACGAGAUUGUAUACCAUUAAUACAAUGAUUCCCUGAUUUCCUUAUUGGGCAGAUUUUCCCACACUCCUCAAGCUGGUGAAUGAAUGUUAUCCAUUCCAAGCUUGCUAAUCAUCUUUUGAAACAUCAUACCAGUUAGUCCCUUGGUGAGCACAUUCGCAACUUGUCCAUCUGUAGAAACAAAAGGAGUAUAAAUCAGACCACUAUCUAGUUUUUCCUUUAUGAAGUGUCUGUCAACUUCAAUGUGUUUGGUGCGAUCAUGUUGUACAGGGUUAUGUGCUAUGUUGAUGGCUGACUUGUUGUCGCAAUAGAGUUUCAUUGGUUUUUCCCAUUCUACCUUUAAAUAUGCUAGAAUGAUCUUGAGCCACAAUAUUUCACAAAUCCCUAAAGCCAUUGCUCUAAAUUCUGCCUCUACAUUAGACUUUGCUACAACAUUCUGCUUCUUGUUUCUCCACGUCACAAGAUUUUCGGCAAGAAAGGUGCAAUAACCUAGUGUUGAUCUUCGGUCAACUGGUGACCCUGCAUAGUCAGAAUCUGUGUAGGCUUCAAGAUUCAAUUUUUCUCCUUUCUUAAAAAGAAUUCCUUUUCCCGAAGUUCCCUUAAUGUACUGUAAGAUUCUAUUGACCGCUUGAAGGUGUACCUUUUUUGGAUUGUGCAUAAAUUGACUUACAACACUAACUACAUAGGCAAUGUCAGGUCUGGUGUGUGACAGGUAGAUAAGUUUCCCUACCAAUCUUUGAUAAUCACUUUUCUCAAUUAGGGCAUCCUCAGGAGCUUCUCCGAGUUUGUGAUUGAAUUCUAUUGGAGUCUCAACAGGCUUACACCCUAGCUUUCCUGUUUCCUUCAGCAAAUUCAUCACAUGUUUCUGUUGUGAAAUAAAGAUCCCAUGCUGUGAGUGAGCAACUUCAAUCCCAAGAAAGUAUUUCAACCUACCUAGCUCUUUUAUUUCAAACACCUCCUUAAAGCUUCUUUCCCUUUCAUGUCAUUUUUAGUUACCACAAUGUCAUCGACAUAUACUAACAAGGUAGUUACUUCCCCUGACACUGAGUACUUGACAAAUAGAGUAUGAUCUCCUUGGCUUUGUUUAUACCCUAUUGCUAACAUAACUUUAGUGAAUCGCCUAAACCAAGCUCGAGGGGAUUGUUUUAGACCACAUAGGGCUUUCUUUAGUCUGCACACCUUUUUUCCUUGUAGAUUUGAACCAAAGCCAGGAGGAAUUUUCAUGUAGAUUUCUUCAUCAAGAUCUCUAUGUAGAAAUGCAUUCUUGACAUCAUAUUGUUGUAGACUCCACCCAAGGUUAGCUGCUAAGGAUAACAAUAUUCUUACCAUAUUUAUUUUUGCAAUAGGAGCAAAAGCUUCUAGAUAAUUAACUCCAUAAGUUUGAGUAUAUCCCUUAGCUACCAACCUGGCUUUAUAUCUCUCAAGCGAUCCAUCUGCUUUAUACUUAAUAGUGAACACCCAUUUACAUCCUAUUGGUCUCUUUCCUUUGGGUUGUUCCACUAAUUCCUAAGUGUUAUUUUUCUCAAGACCUUCCAUUUCAACUCUCAUAGCAUCUCUCCAUUCCUUAUGACCUAAGGCCUCAAGCAUAGUUUUGGGAAUGAUUAUAGUGUUUAGAUGUGUAAGAAAGGUUUUAUGAUUACGUGAUAAUUUCUCAUAUGACACAAAGUGAGAUAAUGGAUAUAGUGAAUUUUGGGUGCAUUUUCUUGUGCCUUUCCUAAGAGCAAUGGGAAGAUUAUCACUAGCAUCAUGAGAGUUAGAAGUAAUUACCUCAUUCGCAGGAGUAGGUUCAGAAUCUUGAAUUUGCAUAGGUUGAACGAUGGGUACCUUCUUCCUUGAAUAAACCAACAAUGGGCAAGUAGAAAUUUGAACCUGAUUAUCUUUUUCCAAAGUUUGUGUUUCUGAUGUAGGAGUACAAGGUGACUCGGAUUUAGUAGAAAUAGGGGCUGAAACAGAGUUUGGAUUUCUAGAUCUUUGAGGGAUUGGAGGAGAAUAUGAAGGAAUAGGAGAAUCAAGUUCUUGUAAAAAUAAGUCAUUGUCCUUAUCUUCCAUAGAUGUUCUCUCUCCCUGAAGAUAAGGUUGGGGAAAAUAACUAUCUCUUUCAACAAAUGUUACAUUGGCUGACACAUAGAAGUUUCGAGUUGGAGGAUGAUAACACUUGUGUCCUUUUUGAGUAGAUGAGUAUCCUAUAAAAAUACACUUAAGUGCUCAUGGAUCUAACUUUCCCCUGUUAUGAGAGUGUAUAUGGACAGAAGAUACACAGCCAAAGGUUUUUGGGACAAGAUUGUUUGUGGUAUUGAAGUUGUAAAAAUGCUUGGUCAGAACUUGCAUGGGACUUUUGAAACCAAGGACACGAGAGGGCAACCUGUUUAUAAGAUGGGCAGCAGUUAGAACACCUUCGUCCCAAUAAUUUUUCGGAAUGUGUUUUUGAAAUAGAAGGGCUCGGGUAGUGGCUAACAAGUGGCCAUUUUUUCUUUCGGCCACCCCAUAUUGUUGGGGGUAUUGAUACAAGAUAACUCAUGUAUUAUUCCCUCCUUCUGGAAAAAAUGUGAUAGAACUUGAUUGAAGGAAUCUUUAGCAUUGUCUGAUCUGAAUUUUUUUAUCUUGACCCCAAAUUGAAUUUUUACCAUACUAUGAAAUGUGGAAAAUACUGAACUUACAUCAGACUUAUUCUUUAGGAGAAAAAUCCAUGACACACGAGUACAAUCAUCAAUAAAUGAAACAAACCAACGAGCUCCAGAUAUAGUAGGAACAUUAGAAGGCCCCCAGAUAUCACUAUGGAUGAGUGAAAAAGGAACUGAUGUUAUUUUAUUGCUUACAGGAAAGGAAGCACGUUUGUGCUUUGCAAUUUCACAAAUAUUACAAUGAAGACGUUUCUCAUCAAUUCCUUUAAAUAACAAUGGGAACAUAACUUUAAGGAUGCUAAAUGAGGGAUGUCCUAGACGAAGAUGAUAAAGCCAAAUUUUGUCUUCAUUUGAAGUUAAAAAUUCAGAAAACAGUGAUAAAGAUAAGCUAUUCUUAGUUUCAUUUUGCCUGCUUGAUUCUUCAAGAUAAUAAAGUCCAUCUUUCUCCCUAGCAAGUCCAAUCAUCUUCCCCGUUACCUGGUCCUGAAAAACACAAUUUGAGGGAAAGAAAGUUACAGUACAAUUUAAAUCUUUUGUGAGCCUUUGUAUGGACAAGAGAUCAGUGGAUAAUUUUGGAACAUGAAGAACAUUAACAAGUUUCAAAUUUUGGUUUAUUAAAAUACUUUCUUGGCCCGUAACUGCGAUUAAUAUGCCAUCUGCUGUGGCUAUUUUCUUAUUGCUAGGACAUGGAUUAUAAGAGGUAAAUUUGUGUGAUGAAUGGGUCAUAUGAUCUGUAGCCCCUGAAUCAAUGACCUAGGAAUCUGGAAAAGAGGUUAUGCUUGAGACACUAAGGACACGGGGGAGAGGAUGCUUACCUGAGAGUGCUAAAGAACAAGCACCUGAAGUAGCAGACUUUCCCAAGGACCCCAACAAAUUCCUCAGUUUUUGUAUCUCACUUUGACUGAAGUCACUUUGCUCUUGUGGCAUGUCCUCCUCCCCAGGUUGUGAGUAAGUCAUAUGAGCCUGCCCUCUUUGUUGUCCAUCCUUCAUGGUCCAAUUUUUGUUUGACAAUUUCGGCUUUCCAUGAAGCUUCCAACAUCGUUCUAUCCUGUGCCGAGGCCUUCUACAGUAUGUACACCUUAAUUCAUCUUUGUUUGUUGCUUAAGACAUGUUCAAUUCCUCAUUCAUGCUCACGGUUGGUUGGUUUGGACUGGGUUUUUUAAAACCAGUCAUUUUUGAGACCAUAGCUGACACUUCGACGGCCUGUGGUUCCACCAUUACUCCCCUCCGUCCUUCUUCUGCUCUGAUUACCGCAAUAGUCUCAUUUAAUGAGGGCAAAUCAUCCUUUCCAAGAAUUUGGACUCUGACUGGAUCAAACACCAUAUUUAGUCCUGCAAGGAAAUCAUAAAUCCUGUCAUUUUCUUCCAGUCUUUUCACCAUGGCUGCAUCAUCACUGCAUUUCAGUUUAAUACAUUGAUAAUGGUCCAUUUCUUGACACAGAUUUUUCAUGAGAUUGGCAUAUUCUGUGAUAGUACGUUCUCCUUGCUUGGUGGCUGAAAUUUUAAUCUUGAUUUCAUAUAUCUGAGCAGCAUCAUGAACCUUGGAAUAGGUUUGUCCAACGGCAUCCCAAAUCUCCUUUGCAGUGGUUAGGAACAUACAUGAAUUGCUGAUCUCCGGUAGCAUUGGGUUCCAUAGCCAUGUCAUCACCAUAGAGUCCGCCUCAUCCCAAGCAUCAAAUCCAGGAUUUCCUGCUAUAGGCCCUGCACCAAGCGACUCAACAUGCCUUUCCUUUUCAAGAACGUUCUAACCAGCUGUGACCAUUUUAGGUAAUUCUUUCCAUUCAAUUUAUAUGCUGCUUGCAGAUUCUGUAACUCUCCUAAAGAUGAAGCAGGUUUUGUUUCCACAGUCUGCGUCUCAGAGGAGUUAGUGCUGUCAAUGAUUUCUGCCAUGGCCAUUGUGAAGAUCAAGAAAGAGCUGUGGUUAAAUCAAGAACGAGAGUGGCCAAAGGAAGAACAAAGAACUUAAGAUUUUCAAAAUGAUUUAGAGAGAACGAAAAAAAAUCAGCAAUAAAGGCUGAACAAAAUACUGGGCAAUGAAGGCCAACAAGUGAAAAAACAGAGGGUAAUUCCCAGAAGCUUAAAGCUCUGAUACCAUGUGAAGAAUUGAAGUAUUAUUCUUCUUCGUAAUCAUAAUAAUAAUGCUAUACAAUCAUUGAAUUUAUAUACUUACAGAGAACAAAUAAAAUAGAAAACUAUCCUAACAUAAAUCCCCUUAAUUAAGGGAUUGUGAUAUUCCUUUAAUUAAGGGAUUGUGAUAUCUCCUAAAUUACGGGAUUGU